This 100-nucleotide Y RNA is filed under the name Aotus nancymaae (Ma's night monkey). RNAcentral describes it as "Y RNA (ENSANAG00000004257.1)". It matches the Rfam family "Y RNA". From Rfam's summary of the family: Y RNAs are components of the Ro ribonucleoprotein particle (Ro RNP), in association with Ro60 and La proteins. Lineage: Eukaryota; Metazoa; Chordata; Mammalia; Primates; Aotidae. The record is from Rfam by way of RNAcentral.
GGCUGGUCCGAGUGCAGUGGUGUUUACAACUAAUUGAUCACAACCAGUUACAGAUUUCUUUGUUCCUUCUCCACUCCCACUGCUUCACUUGACUAGAAAG